GGGGAAUAUUGCACAAUGGGGGAAAGCCUGAUGCAGCCAUGCCGCGUGUGUGAAGAAGGCCUUCGGAUUGUAAAGCACUUUCAGCGAGGAGGAAAGGUUGGUAGCGAAUAACUGCCAGCUGUGACGUUACUCGCAGAAGAAGCACCGGCUAACUCCGUGCCAGCAGCCGCGGUAAUACGGAGGGUGCAAGCGUUAAUCGGAAUUACUGGGCGUAAAGCGCACGCAGGCGGUUGGAUAAGUUAGAUGUGAAAGCCCCGGGCUCAACCUGGGAAUUGCAUUUAAAACUGUCCAGCUAGAGUCUUGUAGAGGGGGGUAGAAUUCCAGGUGUAGCGGUGAAAUGCGUAGAGAUCU
Molecule: ribosomal RNA, 351 nt
Filed under: Aeromonas sp. C9ACCMRS.III
Lineage: Bacteria; Pseudomonadati; Pseudomonadota; Gammaproteobacteria; Aeromonadales; Aeromonadaceae
Description: bacterial SSU rRNA
Rfam family: Bacterial small subunit ribosomal RNA
Source: RNAcentral